AUUGAACGCUGGCGGCAGGCCUAACACAUGCAAGUCGAACGGUAACAGGAAGCAGCUUGCUGCUUUGCUGACGAGUGGCGGACGGGUGAGUAAUGUCUGGGAAACUUCCUGAUGGAGGGGGAUAACUACUGGAAACGGUAGCUAAUACCGCAUAACGUCGCAAGACCAAAGAGGGGGACCUUAGGGCCUCUUGCCAUCGGAUGUGCCCAGAUGGGAUUAGCUAGUAGGUGGGGUAACGGCUCACCUAGGCGACGAUCCCUAGCUGGUCUGAGAGGAUGACCAGCCACACUGGAACUGAGACACGGUCCAGACUCCUACGGGAGGCAGCAGUGGGGAAUAUUGCACAAUGGGCGCAAGCCUGAUGCAGCCAUGCCGCGUGUAUGAAGAAGGCCUUCGGGUUGUAAAGUACUUUCAGCGGGGAGGAAGGGAGUAAAGUUAAUACCUUUGCUCAUUGACGUUACCCGCAGAAGAAGCACCGGCUAACUCCGUG
This 490-nucleotide ribosomal RNA is filed under the name uncultured bacterium. RNAcentral's name for it is "partial 16S ribosomal RNA". It matches the Rfam family "Bacterial small subunit ribosomal RNA", at positions 30 to 507 of the family's 1533-position model. The record is from RNAcentral.